RNAcentral lists this ribosomal RNA (117 nucleotides) under Neogale vison (American mink). Lineage: Eukaryota; Metazoa; Chordata; Mammalia; Carnivora; Mustelidae. The record is from RNAcentral.
GUCUACGGCCAUACCACCCUGAACACGCCCGAUCUCGUCUGAUCUCGGAAGCUAAGCAGGGUCGGGCCUGGUUAGUACUUGGAUGGGAAAAGGUGGUAUUCCUGGAAUAGGUUGAAA